RNAcentral lists this transfer RNA (76 nucleotides) under Candidatus Cloacimonadota bacterium. RNAcentral's name for it is "tRNA-Trp". It matches the Rfam family "tRNA". From Rfam's summary of the family: Transfer RNA (tRNA) molecules are approximately 80 nucleotides in length. Their secondary structure includes four short double-helical elements and three loops (D, anti-codon, and T loops). Lineage: Bacteria; Pseudomonadati; Candidatus Cloacimonadota. The record is from RNAcentral. RNAcentral also lists the same sequence under 1 other name.
AGGAUAGUAGUUCAAUUGGUAGAGCGUCGGUCUCCAAAACCGAAAGUUGCGGGUUCAAAUCCUGCCUAUCCUGCCA